This 429-nucleotide ribosomal RNA is filed under the name Bacteroidota bacterium. RNAcentral's name for it is "Bacteroidetes bacterium partial 16S ribosomal RNA". It matches the Rfam family "Bacterial small subunit ribosomal RNA", at positions 355 to 776 of the family's 1533-position model. The record is from RNAcentral. Lineage: Bacteria; Pseudomonadati; Bacteroidota.
UAGGGAAUCUUCCGCAAUGGACGCAAGUCUGACGGAGCAACGCCGCGUGAGUGAAGAAGGAUCUCGGUUCGUAAAACUCUGUUGUUAGAGAAGUACAGCGCAUAGAGUAACUGUUAUGCGUGUGACGGUAUCUAACCAGAAAGCCACGGCUAACUACGUGCCAGCAGCCGCGGUAAUACGUAGGUGGCAAGCGUUGUCCGGAUUUAUUGGGCGUAAAGCGAGCGCAGGCGGUCAAUUAAGUCUGAUGUGAAAGCCCCCGGCUCAACCGGGGGGGGUCAUUGGAAACUGGUUGACUUGAGUGCAGAAGAGGAGAGUGGAAUUCCAUGUGUAGCGGUGAAAUGCGUAGAUAUAUGGAGGAACACCAGUGGCGAAGGCGACUCUCUGGUCUGUAACUGACGCUGAGGCUCGAAAGCGUGGGUAGCAAACAGG